ACCUGAAACUGUUACGAGGAAAGCGGAUUGCGUUGGAUUGAAAAGCUUUUUUGUGUGUUCAGCCUUUACUGGUGUACUCAUACGAAAAGGUUAACCAUCGUGGCUAUUUGACGACUGAUUUUGAGUUGUUGAAUGGUGAGGGAUCCCCUUUAUUGGGUGAGGACGAUGGUGUGACAACGCGAUACGACCCGUCUUGAAACACGGACCAAGGAGUCUAGCACAAUUGCGAGUCGAAUGGUGUGAAAACCUGAGGGCGCAGUGAAAGCGAAUCAUUUAAAAACGAUCAGUUUGAGGCGGCAUAAAAUCGUUGAUUUUAGGUCUGACCUAGAGCAGUUGUGCUGGGACCCGAAAGAUGGUGAACUAUACUUGAGUAGGGCAAAGCCAGAAGAAAUUCUGGUGGAGGCUCGCAGCGGUGCUGACGUGCAAAUCGCUCGUCGAACUUGAGUAUAGGGGCGAAAGACUCAUCGAACCAUCUAGUAGCUGGUUCCCUCCGAAGUUUCUCUCAGGAUAGCGGGCCGACAUGACGUUGUUUUGUGCGGUAAAGCGAAUGAUUAGCGCAUUUGGGGACUAUUUGUCUUCGGGCGAUUCUCAAAC
Molecule: ribosomal RNA, 594 nt
Filed under: Gastroclonium ovatum
Lineage: Eukaryota; Rhodophyta; Florideophyceae; Rhodymeniales; Champiaceae
Description: eukaryotic LSU rRNA
Rfam family: Eukaryotic large subunit ribosomal RNA
Source: RNAcentral